GUCUGUUUGAAAGUUAUAUACAGUCUAGCCUGCCCACUGGGUAACUAAAGGGCCGCGGUACACUGACCGUGCGAAGGUAGCAUAGUAAUUAGUUCUUUAAUUGAGGACUGGAAUGAAUAGUUGGACGAGAAGUUAGCUGUCUCUAAUGUAAAUUUUGAAGUUUACCUUUAAGGGAAAAGGCUUAAAUAAUAUAAAGGGACAAUAAGACCCUAUAAAACUUUACUUCUUAUUUAAGAGUUAUUAAAUUAGAGGUGUAAAUUUGCUCUUAAAAUAAGUGUUUUGUUGGGGCGAUAGGAAUAUAAAAUAUUAACUGUUUUUGAAAAUAAAAUAAUAUUAAUUAGAUUAAAUGAUCCUUUAAUAUGGAUUAUAAGAUUAAGCUACUUUAGGGAUAACAUCGUAAUUUCUCUUGAGAGACCUAAUCAACAGAGUUAGUUGCGACCUCGAUGUUGAAUUAAGAUAUCAUUUAGGUGCAGAAGUCUAAAUAGUAGGUCUGUUCGAUCUUUAAAAUCUUACAUGAUUUGAGUUCAAACCGGCAUGAG
This 539-nucleotide ribosomal RNA is filed under the name Lysmata cf. boggessi JAB-2010. RNAcentral's name for it is "partial 16S ribosomal RNA". It matches the Rfam family "Bacterial large subunit ribosomal RNA", at positions 1819 to 2625 of the family's 2925-position model. Lineage: Eukaryota; Metazoa; Arthropoda; Malacostraca; Decapoda; Hippolytidae. The record is from RNAcentral.